GUCGAACGGCAGCACAGGAGAGCUUGCUCUCUGGGUGGCGAGUGGCGGACGGGUGAGGAAUACAUCGGAAUCUACUUUUUCGUGGGGGAUAACGUAGGGAAACUUACGCUAAUACCGCAUACGACCUACGGGUGAAAGCAGGGGAUCUUCGGACCUUGCGCGAUUGAAUGAGCCGAUGUCGGAUUAGCUAGUUGGCGGGGUAAAGGCCCACCAAGGCGACGAUCCGUAGCUGGUCUGAGAGGAUGAUCAGCCACACUGGAACUGAGACACGGUCCAGACUCCUACGGGAGGCAGCAGUGGGGAAUAUUGGACAAUGGGCGCAAGCCUGAUCCACCCAUACCGCGUGGGUGAAGAA
This 355-nucleotide ribosomal RNA is filed under the name Stenotrophomonas maltophilia. RNAcentral describes it as "bacterial SSU rRNA". It matches the Rfam family "Bacterial small subunit ribosomal RNA", at positions 61 to 412 of the family's 1533-position model. The record is from RNAcentral. Lineage: Bacteria; Pseudomonadati; Pseudomonadota; Gammaproteobacteria; Lysobacterales; Lysobacteraceae.